GCCGGGGUGCCCGAGCGGUCUAAGGGGCCGGCCUUGAGAGCCGGUGGGCGUAGCCCACGCGGGUUCGAAUCCCGCCCCCGGCG
RNAcentral lists this transfer RNA (83 nucleotides) under Desulfurococcaceae archaeon. Its description in RNAcentral is "tRNA-Ser". It matches the Rfam family "tRNA". From Rfam's summary of the family: Transfer RNA (tRNA) molecules are approximately 80 nucleotides in length. RNAcentral also lists the same sequence under 2 other names. The record is from RNAcentral. Lineage: Archaea; Thermoproteati; Thermoproteota; Thermoprotei; Desulfurococcales; Desulfurococcaceae.